RNAcentral lists this ribosomal RNA (460 nucleotides) under uncultured bacterium. Its description in RNAcentral is "partial 16S ribosomal RNA". It matches the Rfam family "Bacterial small subunit ribosomal RNA", at positions 338 to 795 of the family's 1533-position model. The record is from RNAcentral.
CCUACGGGUGGCUGCAGUGAGGAAUAUUGGUCAAUGGACGCAAGUCUGACCCAGCAACGUCGCGUGAAGGAUGACUGCCCUCUGGUUUUUAACCUUUUUUUAUAUGGGAGUAAAACAGGAUGUGCAUACCGUCUUAUCUGUACCCUAUUAAUAAGCAUCGGCUAACUCCGUGCCGGCAGCGGCGGUAAUACGGCGGAUCCGUGCGUUAUCCGGAUUUAUUGGGUGUAAGGGGAGCGUAGGUGGAUUGUUAAGUCAGUUGUGAAAGUUUGGGGCUCAACCCUUAAACUGCAUUUGAAACUGGCAGUCUUGAGUGCAGGAGAGGUGGUCGGAAUUCGUGGUGUAGCGGUGAAAUGCGUAGAUAUAAGGAAGAACACCGGUGGCGAAGGCAGAUUACUGGACUGUAACUGACGCUGAGGCGCGAAAGUGUGGGGAGCAAACAGGAUUAGAUACCCUGGUAGUC